CCUUAAACUUAACUCUUUCUUUACAAGGUUCAGAAUAAUUUCUCAUUACCAUUUAUGCUAACAGACCAUGAUAAGGACAUGGAGAUGUCUAAAUCCACUGAUUCACUGCAGAGAAAGGGGUAUUGGACAGUGCUCCAGAAGGAGUACCAUGUGUAUUUAAACUGUAAUCGGAGACAUCUAUUUUCAACCUCAACCACAAUCUAUUUCGUUACAGUGACAGGACUGAGCCAUCAAUGGCAGUCAUGCCUGACAAUCCAGAGGAGACAGAUCUGGCCGGACGCCCCACCUUGCCCCCAGCACAAGUACACAUGCCACCCAAGAUGACUCACUGCCGUCUAACAUGUUACACUUUGUGCAACUUCAAAGCCAUGGUCUAAUCACAAAUUUCUGCAAAGUGAGUGAUCUAAUGCAAACCUAUUCCAUAGAUGGAAAAUUUGUCUUUUUUUUUUUUUUUUAAUUCAGGAGAACAGCAUAACUGUUUGCAACUAAGUGUGUUUCAUUGUUUUUCUGUAAGAGAAUUCACAGCAAAAGUACAGAUUCAACUAAGCUGAAGAAAGAAGUGAAAGCUUUGAAUAUACGACCUUUCCUCCAAAUCUGGAACUUUUAAUAUGAUGAUAAUAAGGUAGGCACAGAGUAAGUCAGUGAACCAGAGCUCUAAAAAAACUCUGCUACUACAAUUUCAAAAAUGGAAUUACGAAUCCUAUAUCCUCCUAGGAACAUACACCACUGCUUAAGAAAUGGUCUGAGUUGAAAAUGAGAGUCAAACCUUCAUUUUCAAGAACCUUAUCUGGGUCAAGUUUUUAAAGCAGUAAGAGUGUUUACUGUUUUCCAAAAUCUGAUUUCUUGUUUCAUGUUGCAGCUGAAGGGCGUAUUACUUACUAAGGGUUGACAGGAUUACUGCUGGUGUACUGGUGGUUUUUCUUGAUUACACUUGUUUUUAAAUGUUUCCAUAAAUCUCCUAGCUGAUUCUGAAAAUAAUUUUCUAGUAAACUAAAAAGUCUUUUUUUUUGCAGAAUUAUCUAAAAAUAAGGAGGGAAGAAAGUUUGUUUAAUGCUAUGCUCUGAAAUACCCACUCAUAUGGCCAGUUUGAAGGUUGUUGGACUUGCAUUUAAAGAAAAUGAAAUUUAAGUGGAAACAAUUACAGGAACAAGAAAGUAUGCAAUGUGAUGAUAUGAAUAAUGUGCAGGGAGAACGUUCUAUUAAAACUUGUCUAUUCUGUACUUACAGAAGUUUUACUUUGUAUGUAAGCUAUUUUUUUUUUUUUUUUUUGUAUUUCAUUUUGUAGGGUUAUUGACUAUUUUUCUUGUAUUAGGCCAGGAGUUUC
RNAcentral lists this long non-coding RNA (1324 nucleotides) under Bos indicus x Bos taurus (hybrid cattle). RNAcentral describes it as "lncRNA (ENSBIXG00005016163.1)". The record is from RNAcentral. Lineage: Eukaryota; Metazoa; Chordata; Mammalia; Artiodactyla; Bovidae.